UACGUAGGGGGCGAGCGUUGUCCGGAGUUACUGGGCGUAAAGCGCACGCAGGCGGUCUGCUAAGUUUGGAGUGACAGUUGGUGGCUUAACUGCCAAAGUGCUUCGAAAACUGACAGACUUGAGGGCUUCAGAGGGACACGGAAUUCCGGGUGGAGUGGUGAAAUGCGUAGAGAUCCGGAGGAACACCAAAGGCGAAGGCAGUGUCCUGGGGAGUACCUGACGCUCAGGUGCGAAAGCCAGGGGAGCGAACGGGAUUAGAACUACCCUGGUA
This 271-nucleotide ribosomal RNA is filed under the name uncultured bacterium. RNAcentral's name for it is "partial 16S ribosomal RNA". It matches the Rfam family "Bacterial small subunit ribosomal RNA", at positions 524 to 792 of the family's 1533-position model. The record is from RNAcentral.